RNAcentral lists this unclassified non-coding RNA (290 nucleotides) under Bombus terrestris (buff-tailed bumblebee). RNAcentral describes it as "misc RNA ENSBTSG00005032950.1". Lineage: Eukaryota; Metazoa; Arthropoda; Insecta; Hymenoptera; Apidae. The record is from RNAcentral.
AUAAUGACGCUGAACGAAGAAACAUACUUUUCGAUGUCUUCAGCGAACUGUGCUGAAAGAUAAACAAAGAAGAAGGAGAUAAAAUAUCUAACAGAAAAAUGUCAUAAUUCAAGGUACAUGAUAUAACCAACAAAUCCAGUAGCAUCGAAGGCGUUGGAAAAAUUGUAGAGAUAGAUAAAGCGAAGACAAGCAAACGAAAAUUGGCAGAAUUUAUGUUUAAACGAAAAUAUACGAACAUAUCCCAAGCAUAAAAGUAGGGUUCGUAAGAUAUUUAAGCUCAUUAAUAAGAU